AAUCAACGCUGGCGGCGUGCCUCAGACAUGCAAGUCGAACGAUUAAAGCUCUCUUCGGAGAGUGUAUAGAGUGGCGCACGGGUGAGUAACACGUAAGUAAUCUACCCUCGAGUGGGGAAUAACAACCGGAAACGGUUGCUAAUACCGCAUAAUGCAGCGGCACCGCAAGGUGACAGCUGUUAAAGAUUUAUCGCUUGAGGAGGAGCUUGCGGCAGAUUAGCUAGUUGGUAGGGUAACGGCUUACCAAGGCUACGAUCUGUAACCGGUCUAAGAGGACGGUCGGUCACACUGACACUGAAUAACGGGUCAGACUCCUACGGGAGGCAGCAGUCGGGAAUUUUGGGCAAUGGGCGAAAGCCUGACCCAGCAACGCCGCGUGAAGGAUGAAGUAUUUCGGUAUGUAAACUUCGAAAGAAUAGGAAGAAUUAAUGACGGUACUAUUUAUAAGGUCCGGCUAACUACGUG
Molecule: ribosomal RNA, 465 nt
Filed under: uncultured bacterium
Lineage: Bacteria
Description: bacterial SSU rRNA
Rfam family: Bacterial small subunit ribosomal RNA
Source: RNAcentral